This 73-nucleotide transfer RNA is filed under the name Stegodyphus mimosarum. It matches the Rfam family "tRNA". From Rfam's summary of the family: Transfer RNA (tRNA) molecules are approximately 80 nucleotides in length. The record is from Rfam by way of RNAcentral. Lineage: Eukaryota; Metazoa; Arthropoda; Arachnida; Araneae; Eresidae.
GCCUUCGUGGUCUAGUGGUCAGCACGUUCGCCGCGUAUUCGAGAGGUCCGUGGUUCGAGUCCCGGCGAGGGCA